UGGGGAAUAUUGCACAAUGGGCGCAAGCCUGAUGCAGCGACGCCGCGUGAGGGAUGACGGCCUUCGGGUUGUAAACCUCUUUCACCAGGGACGAAGCGUGAGUGACGGUACCUGGGGAAGAAGCACCGGCCAACUACGUGCC
Molecule: ribosomal RNA, 142 nt
Filed under: uncultured Gordonia sp.
Lineage: Bacteria; Bacillati; Actinomycetota; Actinomycetes; Mycobacteriales; Gordoniaceae
Description: partial 16S ribosomal RNA
Rfam family: Bacterial small subunit ribosomal RNA
Source: RNAcentral